RNAcentral lists this ribosomal RNA (86 nucleotides) under Haemophilus influenzae. The record is from RNAcentral. Lineage: Bacteria; Pseudomonadati; Pseudomonadota; Gammaproteobacteria; Pasteurellales; Pasteurellaceae.
CCUGGCGGCGAUAGUGCGGUGGACCCACCUGAGACCAUACCGAACUCAGAAGUGAAACGCUGUAAUGCCGAUGGUAGUGUGGGGUU